AACAGUUUUAUCGAGUUUCGUCCCAAUCUAUGGACUACUUCCUCGUCGAGCUCGCCUCAGGGGUGCGACUCAGUUAGUAGCACUAUUAUCAAGAAGGUUUCUGGUAGAUCAAAGAGGAUCCAAGCCACACAGACGACUGUCUUGGAGAUUGCUCAAAAAUCUUGAAGGGCUUUUUGCUGAUGCGAUAAGAUCCCUUCUCCUCCUCUGCUUUUACAUAUAUAUAGUAAUUUUUGUUCUGAUAGAUGCUAAGGAAGUUGUAACUGUAAACUGGUUUGGGUUAAUUUUAUGUUGUAAGUUUGUUGAGAUUGUAAAAAUAUAUGUGAUGUGUAGCUUAUAAGGGGAUUUAAAAUAACAAUAAAGUGUUUAUAUAUGCAUGGCACACCAUUCAAAAUCAAA
This is a long non-coding RNA of Humulus lupulus (European hop), 396 nucleotides long. RefSeq lists it as uncharacterized. The transcript has 2 exons. Lineage: Eukaryota; Viridiplantae; Streptophyta; Magnoliopsida; Rosales; Cannabaceae. The record is from RefSeq and is a predicted model, not a curated record.